UAGAGAAGGCAGGCAGGAAUGAAACCAAGCACAUUCAUGAAAUGAAGUCACGUUGUAGAGAAGGCAGGCAGGAAUGAAACCAAGCACAUCAGGUGACAGCAGUUUCUGUGUUAGUUCAAUUAGUGUCAUCACCAGUGACUGCCCAAGGUCUAGAGGUACAAAACGAUUGCAUGUCUACAAAGUAGGACAGUCACUUAAUUUACCACCAGUAGAAGGAAAGAGAAAGCCACCUCCUGGCUUUAAUUCUGCGAGAGACACAGGGUGAAUUGGCGGUUGGGGGCAGUGCAGGGAUCUCUUUAUCCCUCCAUGCGGCCUUACUGACCUGGGAGGACGGCCUCGCACCUGACCCCCUCAUUGCACUCUAUUUGUCUAGCCUUAUCAUGACCUUGAAAGAAAAUCUUGCUCCCCUCUGCUUUGAUUGUUGCUGUUUGGCCAGCACACUUUGCUCCCGUGUUUCUUCUGGAACCAAACUAACAUUACUUAUUGCUUUCCCGAAUGUCAACAGAGUUUGUUUGCCUUUCCAGAUUAUUGACCACAUUCUGUGGAUCAGACAGGCCCUGGGCUUAAAAAUGAUAUUUAAUACUAUGGGAACUAGAGGCUGCAAAAAUUAGAAGGAUAAGUAGAACCUAGCAGAAAACUAAGAACAGAGCUGUACAUGAUUUCACUGUCUUUGGAGAAAAAAAUUACAAAGUUCUGACUACAGUCCCAUAGGCUGAGCUCCAAGCCCCUUACAGAAGCUUCCCAAAACAGUUGGAGGGAAUUUCUGCCCUUUGCUCCAAUUUGCUUUGGGCACAGAAUGGAUCCUGUGGGUGUUUCUCAGCUGGCUUGGAAGACUUGCAACUGUACUGAUUCAAUGAUGGGGUGAAGAGUGUGUGUUUGGUGAGGGCCACAUGAAUUGCCUAAUAGUCUCAUGAAGCAACAUAAAGGAUCAGAAAGCCACAGUAAGGCAGUGGCCUUGUGGCUCCUGUCCUACUGUGGACAAGCCCCUCAAAGUCUCUGGGCUCGCCUCCUUCACUGCAGAGGGUGUAAAAUUAGGCUAAGUGGUCUUCCAGAUUCAGUGGCUCUACCCUCACUACAGUCAGGAAGUAAGCUCUGCCCCUUUAGAAAGCAAAUUCCAUUAAAAUUUCGCAUGCUAUUGGAUGGGUACACUGAAAUAUAAUUGCUACACACAGGGCAAGCUCCACACGCCAGGCUAGGCUGUCAGGUGGGACCGUGUCCUGCUUCCUGAAAUCAGCUCCAUGAAUAGGGACUCUGCAGGUGAGAGGUGGCAAGGGGACUCCAGUUCUCCCGUUCAGGGCCAGUGAGGACAGAGUCCACGCUCCCUUUCAAGGUGCCCUCAGCCCCUCCCAUUUCUACACCUGCUACACCUGCCCUUCUCCUUCCCUUUGCCCAGCCAUGGCUCAAACCUGAUUUACUCCAUGAAAUCUUUCUGGUUUUCAGUCAGAAAAUCUCUGGACUUGCACAUGUCUUUAAUUUCUGCAGUGCAAUUUGGCACUUGCCUUGCUUGGUGCUGGUGCCUGUGCGCUAUUCCUAUCUUUUGAGUUCCUAUCCAGGGAAGGGGCUGUACCUUAAUCUUCUG
RNAcentral lists this long non-coding RNA (1579 nucleotides) under Homo sapiens (human). Its description in RNAcentral is "HSALNT0083944". Lineage: Eukaryota; Metazoa; Chordata; Mammalia; Primates; Hominidae. The record is from RNAcentral.